RNAcentral lists this ribosomal RNA (451 nucleotides) under uncultured bacterium. RNAcentral's name for it is "partial 16S ribosomal RNA". It matches the Rfam family "Bacterial small subunit ribosomal RNA", at positions 28 to 507 of the family's 1533-position model. The record is from RNAcentral.
GAUGAACGCUGGCGGCGUGCCUAACACAUGCAAGUCGAGCGGCAGCGAGGGGUGCUUGCACCCUGUCGGCGAGCGGCGGACGGCUGAGUAACGCGUGGGAACGUGCCCCAAAGUGAGGAAUAACUGCCCGAAAGGGUAGCUAAUACCGCAUAUUAUCUUCGGAUCAAAGGAUUUAUCCGCUUUGGGAGCGGCUCGCGUCGGAUUAGGUAGUUGGUGAGGUAAUGGCUCACCAAGCCGACGAUCCGUAGCUGGUCUGAGAGGAUGACCAGCCAGACUGGAACUGAGACACGGUCCAGACUCCUACGGGAGGCAGCAGUGAGGAAUCUACCACAAUGGGCGAAAGCCUGAUGGAGCAACGCCGCGUGAAGGACGAAGGCCUUCGGGUUGUAAACUGCUUUUAUAAGUGAGGAAUAUGACGGUAACUGAUGAAUAAGGAUCGGCUAACUACGUG